GCCAGGUGUGGUGGCACACACCUGUAAUCCCAGCAGCUAGGGAGGCUGAGGCAGGAGAAUUGCAAGUUCAAAGCCAGCCUCAGCAAAAGUGGGGCCCUAAGCAACUUAGUGAGACCCUGUCUCUA
Molecule: small RNA, 125 nt
Filed under: Marmota monax (woodchuck)
Lineage: Eukaryota; Metazoa; Chordata; Mammalia; Rodentia; Sciuridae
Source: RNAcentral